GUUAAAGCUCGUAGUUGAACCUUGGGCCUGGCUGGCCGGUCCGCCUCACCGCGUGCACUGGUCCGGCCGGGCCUUUCCUUCUGGGGAGCCGCAUGCCCUUCACUGGGUGUGUCGGGGAACCAGGACUUUUACUUUGAAAAAAUUAGAGUGUUCAAAGCAGGCCUAUGCUCGAAUACAUUAGCAUGGAAUAAUAGAAUAGGACGUGUGGUUCUAUUUUGUUGGUUUCUAGGACCGCCGUAAUGAUUAAUAGGGAUAGUCGGGGGCAUCAGUAUUCAAUUGUCAGAGGUGAAAUUCUUGGAUUUAUUGAAGACUAACUACUGCGAAAGCAUUUGCCAAGGAUGUUUUCAUUAAUCAGUGAACGAAAGUUAGGGGAUCGAAGACGAUCAGAUACCGUCGUAGUCUUAACCAUAAACUAUGCCGACUAGGGAUCGGGCGAUGUUAUUUUUUGACUCGCUCGGCACCUUACGAGAAAUCAAAGUUUUUGGGUUCUGGGGGGAGUAUGGUCGCAAGGCUGAAACUUAAAGAAAUUGACGGAAGGGCACCACCAGGAGUGGAGCCUGCGGCUUAAUUUGACUCAACACGGGGAAACUCACCAGGUCCAGACACNAUAAGGAUUGACAGAUUGAGAGCUCUUUCUUGAUUUUGUGGGUGGUGGUGCAUGGCCGUUCUUAGUUGGUGGGAGUGAUUUGUCUGCUUAAUUGCGAUAACGAACGAGACCUUAACCUGCUAAAUAACCCAGGCUAGCUUUUGGCUGGUCGCCGGCUUCUUAGANGGNACUAUCGGCUCNAGCCGAUGGAAGUUUUGA
Molecule: ribosomal RNA, 805 nt
Filed under: Geniculospora sp. 4d-DF10
Lineage: Eukaryota; Fungi; Ascomycota; Leotiomycetes; Helotiales; Solenopeziaceae
Description: SSU rRNA
Rfam family: Eukaryotic small subunit ribosomal RNA
Source: RNAcentral